RNAcentral lists this ribosomal RNA (253 nucleotides) under uncultured bacterium. Its description in RNAcentral is "partial 16S ribosomal RNA". It matches the Rfam family "Bacterial small subunit ribosomal RNA", at positions 524 to 776 of the family's 1533-position model. The record is from RNAcentral.
UACAGAGGUCUCGAGCGUUGUUCGGAUUCAUUGGGCGUAAAGGGUGCGUAGGCGGCGCGUUAAGACAGGUGUGAAAGCCCCGAGCUUAACUUGGGAAUUGCGCUUGUGACUGGCGUGCUGGAGUGUGGCAGAGGGAGGUGGAAUUCCACGUGUAGCAGUGAAAUGCGUAGAGAUGUGGAGGAACACCGAUGGCGAAGGCAGCCUCCUGGGCCAGCACUGACGCUCAUGCACGAAAGCGUGGGGAGCAAACAGG